This 207-nucleotide ribosomal RNA is filed under the name uncultured bacterium. RNAcentral's name for it is "partial 16S ribosomal RNA". It matches the Rfam family "Bacterial small subunit ribosomal RNA", at positions 568 to 774 of the family's 1533-position model. The record is from RNAcentral.
CGUGUAGGCGGUUUGUACAGUCAGAUGUGAAAUCCCCGGGCUUAACCUGGGAGCUGCAUUUGAGACGUGCAGACUAGAGUGUGAGAGAGGGUUGUGGAAUUCCCAGUGUAGAGGUGAAAUUCGUAGAUAUUGGGAAGAACACCGGUGGCGAAGGCGGCAACCUGGCUCAUUACUGACGCUGAGGCUCGAAAGUGUGGGUAGCAAACA